GUYUUUUUGUUAAAAAUUUAAAGUCAGGCCUGCCCACUGAAACUUUAAAUGGCCGUGGUAUUUUGACCGUGCUAAGGUAGCAUAAUCAUUAGUUUUUUAAUUGAAAGCUGGAAUGAAAGGUUUGAUAAAAAAAUGACUGUCUCUAUUUAAUUUUAUUAGAAAUUUAUUUUUAAGUUCAAAAGCUUAAUUUUUAUUAAAAGACGAGAAGACCCUAUAGAGUUUAAUAAUUUAAGGUAAUUUAUAUUUUAGAAUUAAUUUAUUUAUUUUUUAAUAUUAUUUAAUUGGGGUGAUUGAAAAAUUUAAUUAACUUUUUUUAUAUUUAACCAUUAAUUUAUGAUAAUUUGAUCCAAUUUUUUUUUGAUUAUAAGAUAAAAUUACCUUAGGGAUAACAGCGUAAUUUUUUUAGAAAGUUCAAAUUAAAAGAAAAGAUUGCGACCUCGAUGUUGGAUUAAAAUUAAAUUUUGGUGUAGAAGCUAAAAAUUUUAAGUCUGUUCGACUUUUAAAAUUUUACA
This 512-nucleotide ribosomal RNA is filed under the name Calligrapha scalaris. RNAcentral describes it as "partial 16S ribosomal RNA". The stretch from base 385 to 512 matches the Rfam family "Bacterial large subunit ribosomal RNA", at positions 2473 to 2600 of the family's 2925-position model. Lineage: Eukaryota; Metazoa; Arthropoda; Insecta; Coleoptera; Chrysomelidae. The record is from RNAcentral.